UACGGGGGGGGCAAGCGUUGUUCGGAAUUACUGGGCGUAAAGGGCUCGUAGGCGGCCAACUAAGUCAGACGUGAAAUCCCUCGGCUUAACCGGGGAACUGCCUCUGAUACUGGAUGGCUUGAGAUUGGGAGAGGGAUGCGGAAUUCCAGGUGUAGCGGUGAAAUGCGUAGAUAUCCGGAGGAACACCGGUGGCGAAGGCGGCUUCCUGGACCGACACUGACGCUGAGGCGCGAAAGCUAGGGGAGCAAACGGG
This 253-nucleotide ribosomal RNA is filed under the name uncultured bacterium. RNAcentral's name for it is "partial 16S ribosomal RNA". It matches the Rfam family "Bacterial small subunit ribosomal RNA", at positions 524 to 776 of the family's 1533-position model. The record is from RNAcentral.